AUGGGCACAUCACCCUACCUCCCUCCUCCUCCUCCACUUCGCCUUCCCCCCACUGAUCCAACGAGGCAGACAGGGAAACUUCCUCGCGACCCCGCCCCGCCGCCCACCCCCUCCUCCGCCUCGCCGAGGGAGGGGAUCGCCGACGCCGACGCCGACGCUGCCAUGGCUUCCACCUCCUCCAAGCACGCCAAGCACCGCCGGAUCGGAGAGGACGAGGAGGAGGAGGAGGAGGAGGAGGAGGAGGAGGCCGAGGAAGAGCUCGGGCGAUUUGAUGAUUUCACCAUUGCUUCAUCUUGGGAGAGGUUUAUAUCCGAGAUAGAGGCAAUUUGUCGUCAAUGGCUAGCAGAUGGCCCAAAGAUCUUGAUGCAAAAAGGUGCAGAGACUGUGCCUUCCUUUGAAAACUUGUACAUGGUCAAGCGUGAACUGAAGCAUGGGAAAAGAGUCUACUGUAUGGAGUAUCAUUUUAGGAAAUCUGCAAAAGGCAAAUAUUCGUACUGGGAUGAUGAUACACAUAGUACACAACUAUCCUUUGGAGUAGAUGAGUUUCUGAUAAUUGCCCCCUUGAGUGCCAGCGGUGUUGUUCUUGACGAUCCUGAAUCAACUAAGCUUUUGAGUUCUGUAGCAAUUGCAUUGUCUAAUUGUGGCAGCAAUUGGCCAGCAUUUGUACCUGUUCAUGACCCUUCACGAAAAGCAUAUAUAGGAAUUCAAAACAUGGGAACUGUAUUUACUCGAAGAUUUGAAGCUGAUCGAAUUGGUAGCCAGGUCCCAAUACGACUCAUGCAUCUGGAGGGUUUACAUGAGCUAUUCCUGUCAAAGUUUGUCCUAUCCUCAACAGAUUUUCCAGCAAAGGUAAAGGUAAACUUCUCGAUGAAGCUUACCUACAGAACUCCUGAACAUGAUUAUGAUCAUGAGGAGACUUUGGAUUCUGAAGCUACCGAGUCAAUACCAGAAAGUGAAGUUGCAAGCCAACCCAGAAAACAAUGGGAUGAUGAUUGCCCUUGGGCAGAGUGGUACUCUGCCGAGGAUCCUGUUAAAGGUUUUGAGUUGACAACCAUUUGGGGAGAGAAAAUGUUUGAAGAGAGCUUUGAGAUGGCUGAGGUGGAAAAUGCUUCGUCGUUUGAUGCUGAUAGUUGGCUUCUUCAACCAGUGGUGUCUCCAUACAUGGUUGAUGAUUCUAUUGGGAAGUUUGUUGGGUUUGCAUCCCAGCUACAUCUGCUAGUAAAUGCAUUUGAAUCGUCAGCAGAGGCACAAUUUUUGGAAGAUUUUGUUGCAGAUAAUUCAGGCCAAGACAAUUCAAAAUCUUCUGUUGCUGUGCCUCCACCAUCUGUCAUUGAUCGUGUUAUGAAAGAUCUUUUCAAUGAUGAGGUUGGAAACUCAAAUUAUGUGGAAGCAGAAAACAAGUAUGGUCGCGCUUUGAAAGGAGCACCUUCAGAUUCUCUCUUUGCUCAGUUCUGUUUACAUGCAUUGUGGUUUGGCAACUGCAAUAUGCGUGCAAUAGCAGUCUUAUGGAUUGAUUUUGUGCGCGAAAUUCGUUGGUGCUGGGAGGAGUCAGAACGACUACCGAGGAUGAAAACCACUUCUAGCAUUGACCUCUCUUCUUGUGUAAUCCACCAAAAACUACAAAUGCUUGCGAUAUGCAUUGAGCGGAAGAAAUCAUUGAACCGUAAGAAGGAUACUGAUGAUGCACAUAAAGAAAAGACUUCAAAUAGCAUGGCACCUGAUAAAAUACGUAAAGGAUCAGCAGGCGUUGUCCCUUCAAUGAUGCUGAUAAAUACAUUUCAGGAAAUGCAUGCUCCAUAUACUCAGGAUGCACCUUUGAUGACAGAAGAUAUGCAUGAAGAAAGGCUCCAUGCAGCUGAAGCUUUUGGCAAUGCUGUUGGUUUAUCUGGUCAACUGGAAAGGGAUAUAUUAUCUUCCGAUAUGUCUGCUUUUAAAGCCGCAAACCCAGAUGCUGCUUUUGAAGAUUUUAUUCGGUGGCAUUCACCUGGUGACUGGGUGAGUGAGGACAAAAGUGAUGGUAAUCCAACCUGGCCACCCAAAGGAAGGCUUUCUCAGCGUAUGUCAGAACAUGGGAAUAUGUGGCGCAAAAUUUGGAAUGAUGCCCCAGCUUUGCCUGUCUCUGAACAGAAAUCUCUCCUUGAUUCUGUUCGAGAAGGAGAAAAGGUGGUUCAUUACCUUGAAACUUUGAGGCCACAGCAGCUCCUUGAGCAAAUGGUCUGCACUGCUUUCAAAUCAUCAGCUGACAUUCUAAACAAGACCACAUAUGGUGGCUUCAAAUUAAUGAAGACUAAAAUGGAUCAACUAUAUGCUACAAUGGUGUCAACAUUAAGAUCUCUUCAAGGGAAAUCUGACACAAGUGAUUUGGCUGGAGAUUUGAAGCGACUUUGUCAAGUUUUCGAGCAUAUAGAGAAGUUGCUGAUUUUUGCUGCUUCGGUCCACCGAAAACUUAUAGAUGCUCCAAGACUGGCUCAAUCAAUUUUUACCGACUACUUCAAUUACUAUCUUCCAAAAAUGGGAACCAGCUUGGAAAGUAUUUGUUAUGAAAAGGAGUUCACUACUAAGGAAAAGGUGGGGACGCUUGAAAGGGAGGCUGUAUCAAGCCUGUUUCGCCCCCCUACUGCUAAUCAGUCAUGGAGGAAAGUUUUGAGCAUGGGAAAUCUUUUGAACGGACAUGAACCAAUACAAAGAGAGAUUGUAUUCUCAGUUCUGGAGAAACUAAGCAACGGUCACUAUUCGAGCCCAACUCCGUUAUGUACAGAUGAACAGAUUGAGACACAUAGGAUGUAUAUAUGUGGUACAUCUAAUGAUCUCUGGAUUGCUUUAUCCGUGACAUCCUGGGACUGA
RNAcentral lists this ribosomal RNA (2844 nucleotides) under Triticum aestivum (bread wheat). RNAcentral's name for it is "partial small subunit ribosomal RNA". The record is from RNAcentral. Lineage: Eukaryota; Viridiplantae; Streptophyta; Magnoliopsida; Poales; Poaceae.